RNAcentral lists this ribosomal RNA (720 nucleotides) under Perissopmeros sp. Victoria. Its description in RNAcentral is "SSU rRNA". It matches the Rfam family "Eukaryotic small subunit ribosomal RNA", at positions 407 to 1130 of the family's 1831-position model. Lineage: Eukaryota; Metazoa; Arthropoda; Arachnida; Araneae; Malkaridae. The record is from RNAcentral.
CUACCACAUCCAAGGAAGGCAGCAGGCGCGCAAAUUACCCACUCCCGGCACGGGGAGGUAGUGACGAAAAAUAACAAUACGGGACUCUUUUGAGACCCCGUAAUUGGAAUGAGUACACUCCAAACCAUUUAACGAGGAUCCAUUGGAGGGAAAGUCUGGUGCCAGCAGCCGCGGUAACUCCAGCUCCAAUAGCGUAUAUUAAAGUUGUUGCGGUUAAAAAGCUCGUAGUUGGAUCUCAGUUCCAGACGGGCGGUCCGCCUACCGGCGGUCACUGCCCCGUUCUGAACAGCCAGGCGUCUAUCUUCGAUGAUCUUUGCCGGUUGUCGUUGUUGGACGCCGAGUUUACUUUGAAAAAAUUAGAGUGCUCAAAGCAGGCGCGACGCCUGGAUAAUGGUGCAUGGAAUAAUGGAAUAGGACCUCGGUUCUAUUGCGUUGGUUUUCGGAACACGAGGUAAUGAUUAAGAGGGACAGACGGGGGCAUUCGUAUUGCGACGCUAGAGGUGAAAUUCUUGGACCGUCGCACGACGAACUACUGCGAAAGCAUUUGCCAAGAAUGUUUCCAUUAAUCAAGAACGAAAGUUAGAGGAUCGAAGGCGAUCAGAUACCGCCCUAGUUCUAACCAUAAACGAUGCCAGCCAGCGAUCCGGCUGUGUUCCUCAAAUGACACGCCGGGCAGCUUCCGGGAAACCAAAGCUUUUGGGUUCCGGGGGAAGUAUGGUU